Molecule: non-coding RNA, 48 nt
Filed under: Trichobilharzia regenti
Lineage: Eukaryota; Metazoa; Platyhelminthes; Trematoda; Strigeidida; Schistosomatidae
Source: RNAcentral
AUCCAUCUGACGUGUCCCAAACAGGAUGGAAUGGAUUUCAUCCUGGAU